CGCCUUGCCAGCCCGCUCAGAAACUUAAAGGAAUUGACGGGGCCCGCACAAGCGGUGGAGCAUGUGGUUAAUUCGAUGAUACGCGAGGAACCUUACCUGGGCUCAAAUGUAUGUUGACGUAUUCUGAAAGGGAUACUUCUUCGGACAAUAUACAAGGUGCUGCAUGGUUGUCGUCAGCUCGUGCCGUGAGGUGUCGGGUUAAGUCCCAUAACGAGCGCAACCCUACCAUUAGUUGCCAUCAGGUCAAGCUGGGGACUCUAAUGAAACUGCCUACGCAAGUAGUGAGGAAGGUGGGGAUGACGUCAAAUCAGCACGGCCCUUACGUCCAGGGCUACACACGUGCUACAAUGGCCGGUACAAAGGGCAGCUACCUGGUGACAGGAUGCUAAUCUCAAAAGCCGGUCUCAGUUCGGAUCGGAGUCUGCAACCCGACUCCGUGAAGCUGGAAUCGCUAGUAAUCGCGCAUCAGCCAUGGCGCGGUGAAUACGUUCCCGGGCCUU
Molecule: ribosomal RNA, 500 nt
Filed under: uncultured Sphingobacteriales bacterium
Lineage: Bacteria; Pseudomonadati; Bacteroidota; Sphingobacteriia; Sphingobacteriales
Description: bacterial SSU rRNA
Rfam family: Bacterial small subunit ribosomal RNA
Source: RNAcentral